AAGCACAACGUAAUUUUUAAAGCUUAACGAGAGGACAAUAUUUAAUGUCUUACUACCGAAAAACGGAGGGAAAAGGGUACCCUUGAACCCAAGGGCCCCUGGACUGGCACUUAGAUUAGAAGCAGCUCUUUGAAGUCCUCGGGAGGACAUCAGCCGCCACCCGAAAGAAAGUAAAUUUAGCUGUGUGUCCUCUCUUCCAGUGUUUCUCCCAAACCCACGCGGACGUUAUGGCAUGUCAUCAUCUGCUGCUUCACAGGAGGAACUUCCAGAAAGUGAAAACCUGAGAAGAUGUUUGCACUGCCUCGGGGCACACCCCCCAACACUGCUGACCCACAGCCCAGGACACAGCUUUCUGUGGGGAUCGAGGACAGAUGGAGAAAGUGUUAGCCAUAUGAUUCCUGUUACCAUCAAAAACAAUCAUACUGUGUGAUACAGACCAUCUGUUUAAGAUAUGGCAGACACACUUGGAAAAUCCAGAAUAAUGAGAUCUCAAAUCCAUCAUUUGUUAGAGAUGUUAUGGGUCCAAGAAGAUGCCCUUUGGGUCCUCUGUGCUGAGGCGUCAUUAGAUGGAUCAGCCAGACCUCACACCUACCUGUGCUCGACAUCUCACGUCAUAACUGCGUGUCCCUUGGCUGGCUGACCUGGGGUUGGACUGUGCUGUUGGCACAGUGCUGGCCGCCCACAAGGGUGUGGUGACAAUUGCUGAAGUAAAUGCCAUACAGCAUUCUGAGCAAUUCAAAAGAGGGAUGCUGGCCAGCUACCCAAAGCCAUGGCAAC
Molecule: long non-coding RNA, 777 nt
Organism: Myotis davidii
Lineage: Eukaryota; Metazoa; Chordata; Mammalia; Chiroptera; Vespertilionidae
Exons: 3
Source: RefSeq, a predicted model, not a curated record